CCUACGGGAGGCAGCAGUGAGGAAUAUUGGUCAAUGGACGAGAGUCUGAACCAGCCAAGUAGCGUGAAGGAUGACUGCCCUAUGGGUUGUAAACUUCUUUUAUAUGGGAAUAAAAUGUUCCACGUGUGGGAUUUUGUAUGUACCAUAUGAAUAAGGAUCGGCUAACUCCGUGCCAGCAGCCGCGGUAAUACGGAGGAUCCGAGCGUUAUCCGGAUUUAUUGGGUUUAAAGGGAGCGUAGGUGGAUUGUUAAGUCAGUUGUGAAAGUUUGCGGCUCAACCGUAAAAUUGCAGUUGAAACUGGCAGUCUUGAGUACAGGAGAGGUGGGCGGAAUUCGUGGUGUAGCGGUGAAAUGCAUAGAUAUCACGAAGAACUCCGAUUGCGAAGGCAGUUCACUGGACUGCAACUGACACUGAGGCUCGAAAGUGUGGGUAUCAAACAGGAUUAGAUACCCGUGUAGUC
Molecule: ribosomal RNA, 460 nt
Filed under: uncultured bacterium
Lineage: Bacteria
Description: partial 16S ribosomal RNA
Rfam family: Bacterial small subunit ribosomal RNA
Source: RNAcentral